CCCUUAGAGUUUGAUCCUGGCUCAGAACGAACGCUGGCGGCGUGCCUAACACAUGCAAGUCGCACGAGAAGUCCCUUUCGGGGGAUUGUAAAGUGGCGCACGGGUGAAUAACACGUAAAUGAUCUACCCCAUAGAGGCGGACAACCAAGCGAAAGCUUGGCUAAUUCGCCAUACGCUUUUUGGGCUUUGGCCUAGAAAGGAAAGUGGCCCUCUGAUAAUAAGGUCGCGCUAAGGGAUGAGUUUGCGGCCCAUCAGCUAGUUGGUGAGGUAAAGGCUCACCAAGGCUUAGACGGGUAGCUGGUCUGAGAGGACGAUCAGCCACACUGGGACUGAAACACGGCCCAGACUCCUACGGGAGGCAGCAGUGGGGAAUAUUGGACAAUGGGGGAAACCCUGAUCCAGCGACGCCGCGUGGAGGAAGAAGGCCUUCGGGUUGUAAACUCCUGUCGAAAGGGGCGAAGGUCAUGCAGUGAAUAAUUGCAUGGCUUGACAGUACCUUUGGAGGAAGCACCGGCUAACUCCGUGCCAGCAGCCGCGGUAAUACGGAGGGUGCAAGCGUUGUUCGGAAUUAUUGGGCGUAAAGCGUGUCUCGGCGGGUAGAUAAGUCAGAUGUUAAAGAUCCCGGCUUAACUGGGAGAGUGCGUUUGAUACUAUUUAUCUUGAGUCAUAGAGGGAUGAGCGGAAUUCCUGGUGUAGCAGUGAAAUGCGUAGAGAUCAGGAGGAACACCGGUGGCGAAAGCGGCUCAUUGGCUAUGUACUGACGCUCAAGCACGAAAGCGUGGGUAGCAAACAGAUAGAUACCCUGGUAGUCCACGCGGUAACGAUGAUCACCAGGUGUUGGAGAUUGACCCUUCAGUGCCGUAGCAACGCGUUAGUGAUCCGGCUGGG
Molecule: ribosomal RNA, 888 nt
Filed under: uncultured bacterium
Lineage: Bacteria
Description: bacterial SSU rRNA
Rfam family: Bacterial small subunit ribosomal RNA
Source: RNAcentral